Molecule: non-coding RNA, 819 nt
Organism: Zootermopsis nevadensis
Lineage: Eukaryota; Metazoa; Arthropoda; Insecta; Blattodea; Termopsidae
Source: RefSeq, a predicted model, not a curated record
AUGUAGUGAAUUAUUUUUAGUUAACAUAUUGUAAAUUAGGAAUGUAGAGAAUUGAAUGUAGUUAGAAGUAAGUAUAGUAGACCUUUGCAUGUAGGAAUGUGUUGAUUCAUUUCCUGUCUAGAGUAAAGCAGCAAGGCUAGUUCACCUUAUUCUCAGGUGAUGAGAAAAACAUUAAACGGAAAUGCAGACGUAGCCAUUAGGAGUCGGCAGAAAUAUGGGAAAACGCUAACCGAAAGGUUGUGAAAGGAAGUUGAAGAGAGAUCUAGACAGAAGGGCCAAAACUUCGAAGAUAGCAGGAGGUUACGAGAGUCAUGAUGGGCAACGUGCAGCUGAUCGGGCUACUUCUAACAGACCACCUCCUGGUGAUGUUCUUCUGGGUUUCGACACCUACCGACAAAUCUACAGGGCGCCAAAAACCAGACAAGUAUCAUCAACCUCACCGCCGUAAAAAAAUCAAAAUCACAAAGCACUUCAUAAUUCAUCAUCCACAUAUCCCACCGUUCAAAGCUACUUGACAUAUGCAAUUGAGAAGGCGAAGUUAAAUACGUAAAGCUGCUGUAGUGUGACGCUGUGACAGAAAUCGAAGUCGAGUUUCAAGGUCAAGAACGUGUGGAGCUUGACCUCCAGGUUUUUAAGACUCGAUGUUUGUGUCCCAUAUUUCCAAGCGAUUGCCCUACGUGUUCUAAAGUUUAAUAACGUGCUAUUGAAUUCUGCGCAGUUAACACACGUGCAUGCUCUGUUUGCGUACUGCGUAAACGUGCGAAAAUCACCGUAAUCAGCAGCGUCGCAGCUCGAUGGCUGUCAUCGUGUUAACACGUU